Molecule: ribosomal RNA, 711 nt
Filed under: Psoroma hypnorum
Lineage: Eukaryota; Fungi; Ascomycota; Lecanoromycetes; Peltigerales; Pannariaceae
Description: SSU rRNA
Rfam family: Bacterial small subunit ribosomal RNA
Source: RNAcentral
UAGGGAUAAAAUACCUUAUAAUUAUAAAGAAACAUAGUUUUGCUUUAAGAUGUUAAUUACCCUCGUGUUGUAUUAGUUAAAGUAAAAAUUUAACUAGCUUAAUACACGUAGUCGUAACUGAAAGGUUGAUCGACCACAAUGUGGCCUGAACAAAGCCCAUGACUUGUUUACAGCAGUGAGGAAUAUUGGUCAAUAGCCUAACGGCUGAACCAGCAACUUGGAAGAAUGUAUAGCAAGAGCUAAUUGUAUUAACAAAAUAAAUAGUUUUUACAGUCUCGAUUUAUUUGAAUAAAAUUCUAGGUAGAUUUAUGAUAAUGACAUUAUCUAUCUAUGUGUCUUGACCAAAUUACGUGCCAGCAGUCGCGGCAAUACGUAAGAGACUAGUGUUAUUCAUCUUUAAUUGGUUUAAAGCGUACCUAGACGGUAAUUAUAGCCUAAAUCAGGUCUUUUUUACUAGAGUUAUAUGUAAGGGUGUAUUAAAGUACUGUUGAGUUUAGAAAUGAAAUUCUUUGACACCAGAUAAUUGGCACAGGUAUAGGCGAAAGCAUCACUUUAUGUAAUAACUGACGUUGAGGGACGAAGGCUAUGUGUCGCGAACAGGAUUUGAUACCCUAGUAGUCUUAGCAGAAAAUUAUGAAUGUCAUAGGUUAGAUUUAUUUGGUCUAUAAAUGAAAGUGUAAGCAUUCCACCUCAAGAGUAAUUUGGCACCAU